UACGGGGGGGGCAAGCGUUGUUCGGAAUUACUGGGCGUAAAGGGCUCGUAGGCGGCCAACUAAGUCAGACGUGAAAUCCCUCGGCUUAACCGGGGAACUGCGUCUGAUACUGGAUGGCUUGAGUUUGGGAGAGGGAUGCGGAAUUCCAGGUGUAGCGGUGAAAUUCGUAGAUAUUCGCAAGAACACCGGUGGCGAAGGCGGCCAACUGGACCAUUACUGACGCUGAGGCGCGAAAGCGUGGGGAGCAAACAGG
This 253-nucleotide ribosomal RNA is filed under the name uncultured bacterium. RNAcentral's name for it is "partial 16S ribosomal RNA". It matches the Rfam family "Bacterial small subunit ribosomal RNA", at positions 524 to 776 of the family's 1533-position model. The record is from RNAcentral.